This 393-nucleotide ribosomal RNA is filed under the name uncultured bacterium. RNAcentral's name for it is "partial 16S ribosomal RNA". It matches the Rfam family "Bacterial small subunit ribosomal RNA", at positions 523 to 918 of the family's 1533-position model. The record is from RNAcentral.
AUACGGAGGAUGCGAGCGUUAUCCGGAUUUAUUGGGUUUAAAGGGAGCGUAAGCGGACGCUUAAGUCAGUUGUGAAAGUUUGCGGCUCAACCGUAAAAUUGCAGUUGAUACUGGGUGUCUUGAGUACAGUAGAGGCAGGCGGAAUUCGGGGGGUAGUGGUGGAAUGCUUAGAUAUCACGAAGAACUCCGAUUGCGAAGGCAGCUUGCUGGACUGUAACUGACGCUGAUGCUCAAAAGUGUGGGUAUCAAACAGGAUUAGAUACCCUGGUAGUCCACACAGUAAACGAUGAAUACUCGCUGUUUGCGAUAUACAGUAAGCGGCCAAGCGAAAGCGUUAAGUAUUCCACCUGGGGAGUACGCCGGCAACGGUGAAACUUAAAGGAAUUGACGGGG